GGGAUUUGGUUUGUUUUUCCUUACAGAAGAGAGAGCAACAGAGAUGGGGAGGAAUCCAGCUCUGCCUGACAUCCAGGCAUCCUCUCCAAAUUGCAUAGGUCAGUGAGAACGUGUUAUUUAUUAGAACCUGACAUCUGUUGCAGUGAAAUGAUAAGCUCCAUUGAAAAGCCUGGCCAUCAAUUACUGCCAAUACAGCCCUCAUCCCAGAGGAAGCCACUCACCAUCCUCUCAGCCUGUGCAGACCAGGCUGCACCAGGCACGGAGUGUUUACAGCCCAGCUCAGUCUCCUGGCUCCCCUGGGGGAGGGGCAGCAGGGCUUAUUUCAAAACCUUUGUCCCUCAGUUCCAGGAGGCAGCAUUUGCCAAUGGAAAGCUCUAGGAAACACCAGUCUUGAGAGGUGGCCAGCCAGACUGCCUGUCCACAUGCGUGUCAGCACAUACAGCCGCUUCCUGGAAGCCGCCUGGAAUGUCUUCACGGCAGCGUUUUGCUCACACAGCAGCUUUUGCACGCCCCAGGCAGCCCCGACUGCUGAAAUCCAACUUGAGCUGGCUGGUGGUCCCUGGAUCCUAGAGCCCUUCACUUCGGGUUACUCCCUCUUUCUUGCCUCUAUUUCUUAGUUGGAAGAAAUAAACUCACAAAUUAUGGUGCAGUAAUUUUCCGGGGAAAGUAAAGCCUCAGGAAUGCCCACGCCUUUCUUCCAAAGCCUUUGUCUCUGAGACCUCUUAAGUUCUAAGAUUAAAUGCCCCUCGCUGUUC
Molecule: long non-coding RNA, 755 nt
Filed under: Homo sapiens (human)
Lineage: Eukaryota; Metazoa; Chordata; Mammalia; Primates; Hominidae
Description: HSALNT0029260
Source: RNAcentral